AUAGCUGGAUUGCAUUUAAUUUAAUGUAGUUACUACUUGGUAGUUUAAAUUUCUAGGUAGAAUUAUGAUGAUGACAUUAUCUAUCUAUUAGUCUUGACCAAAUUACGUGCCAGCAGUCGCGGUAAUACGUAGAAGACAAGUGUUAUUCAUCUUUAUUAGGUUUAAAGAGUACCAAGACGGUUAAUAAAGCCCAAAAUAAAUGAAUACGGGGGACACAUUAACUAGAGUUAUAUGAAAGGAAGCUCUAAGGUACUGUUGAGUGUAGAGAUGAAAUUUAAUUAUACCAGAUGAGUGGCACAGAUUUAUGCGAAGSCAUCUUCUUAUGUAAUAACUGACGUUGUAGGACGAAGGCUUAGGAAGUGAACAGGAUUAGGUACCCCAGUAAUCUAGGCAGAAAAUGAUGAAUGUCAUAGGUUGAAUACAGACAAACGAUUUGAAUACAGACAAACUAUUUGAAUACAGACAAACUAUCUAAUAGUAAAUAGGUAGGUCUAUUAUUGUGUCUAUAAAUGAAAGUGUAAGCAUUCCACCUCAAGAGUAAUUUGGCAACAUUGGAACUGAAAUCAUUAGACCGUUUCUGAAACCAGUAGUGAAGUAUGUUGUUUAAUUAGAUGAUACACAAAAACCUUACCACAAUCUGAAUAUAUAUAAAAUAUAUUUACAAGNGCUGCACGGCUGUCUACAGUUAAUGUCGUGAGACUUUGGUUAGCUCCAUUAAAUUGACGUAAACCCUAAUUUUAUUUAUAAAUAUAAUUAACAUCGCUAUAUUWGAUGUUUUAAGA
RNAcentral lists this ribosomal RNA (782 nucleotides) under Sticta sp. 13 JAMD-2022. Its description in RNAcentral is "SSU rRNA". Lineage: Eukaryota; Fungi; Ascomycota; Lecanoromycetes; Peltigerales; Lobariaceae. The record is from RNAcentral.